This 238-nucleotide ribosomal RNA is filed under the name Francisella tularensis subsp. holarctica. Its description in RNAcentral is "partial 16S ribosomal RNA". It matches the Rfam family "Bacterial small subunit ribosomal RNA", at positions 196 to 426 of the family's 1533-position model. The record is from RNAcentral. Lineage: Bacteria; Pseudomonadati; Pseudomonadota; Gammaproteobacteria; Thiotrichales; Francisellaceae.
GUGGAUUAAAGGUGGCUUUCGGGCUGUCGCAGUUGGAUGAGCCUGCGUUGGAUUAGCUAGUUGGUGGGGUAAUGGCCCACCAAGGCUACGAUCCAUAGCUGAUUUGAGAGGAUGAUCAGCCUCAUUGGGACUGAGACACGGCCCAAACUCCUACGGGAGGCAGCAGUGGGGAAUAUUGGACAAGGGGGGCUACCCUGAUCCAGCAAUGCCAUGUGUGUGAAGAAGGCCCUAGGGUUGU